UACGGCCUCAUCACGUUGAAACACCAGUGCCCAUACGAUCACCGAAGUUAAGCAACACCGAGACUGAUCAUUACAUAGAUAGGUGACCACUUGGCAAUACCGAGUGCUGUAAG
Acanthosepion pharaonis is the source of this 113-nucleotide non-coding RNA. NCBI's taxonomy places the organism in Eukaryota, Metazoa, Mollusca, Cephalopoda, Sepiida, Sepiidae. The record is from the annotation of a GenBank genome assembly.